AUGUUCUCUUUGCAUGUAUUUUUUUAUCUCACCUUGAAAGGGCUAGUUGUGCCUUAGUGUGCAGUGAAUGAAAUAAAGCAGCAGACUAGUUUGGUCCAUAAGCUUCCUAAAAAGGAUGGAGUUGCUGAUAAAUCUACUACGAAUGCCAAGCUGAAGAUUACAAUUCCUAGGCAGCCUGACCUUGAAACAGCACAUAGGGCACAUAGAAUAAGGUU
Non-coding RNA from Cucurbita pepo subsp. pepo (vegetable marrow), 215 nucleotides. NCBI's taxonomy places the organism in Eukaryota, Viridiplantae, Streptophyta, Magnoliopsida, Cucurbitales, Cucurbitaceae. The record is from RefSeq and is a predicted model, not a curated record.